RNAcentral lists this ribosomal RNA (199 nucleotides) under Rhodella violacea. RNAcentral's name for it is "partial Bacterial small subunit ribosomal RNA". It matches the Rfam family "Bacterial small subunit ribosomal RNA", at positions 395 to 587 of the family's 1533-position model. Lineage: Eukaryota; Rhodophyta; Rhodellophyceae; Rhodellales; Rhodellaceae. The record is from RNAcentral.
UACCGCGUGUGUGAAGAAGGCCUUCGGGUUGUAAAGCACUUUAAGUUGGGAAGAAAAAACUUCAAUUAAUACUUGAAGUCUUGACGGUACCGACAGAAUAAGCACCGGCUAACUCUGUGCCAGCAGCCGCGGUAAUACAGAGGGUGCUAGCGUUAAUCGGAUUUACUGGGCGUAAAGCGUGCGUAGGCGGCUUUUUAAG